UACGUAGGGUGCAAGCGUUAAUCGGAAUUACUGGGCGUAAAGCGUGCGCAGGCGGUUUUGUAAGUCAGUCGUGAAAUCCCCGGGCUCAACCUGGGAAUUGCGAUGGAGACUGCAAGGCUAGAAUCUGGCAGAGGGGGGUAGAAUUCCACGUGUAGCAGUGAAAUGCGUAGAGAUGUGGAGGAACACCGAUGGCGAAGGCAGCCCCCUGGGUCAAGAUUGACGCUCAUGCACGAAAGCGUGGGGAGCAAACAGG
Molecule: ribosomal RNA, 253 nt
Filed under: uncultured bacterium
Lineage: Bacteria
Description: partial 16S ribosomal RNA
Rfam family: Bacterial small subunit ribosomal RNA
Source: RNAcentral